RNAcentral lists this ribosomal RNA (429 nucleotides) under Pseudomonadota bacterium. RNAcentral describes it as "Proteobacteria bacterium partial 16S ribosomal RNA". It matches the Rfam family "Bacterial small subunit ribosomal RNA", at positions 355 to 776 of the family's 1533-position model. The record is from RNAcentral. Lineage: Bacteria; Pseudomonadati; Pseudomonadota.
UGGGGAAUAUUGGACAAUGGGCGAAAGCCUGAUCCAGCCAUGCCGCGUGUGUGAAGAAGGUCUUCGGAUUGUAAAGCACUUUAAGUUGGGAGGAAGGGCAGUAAGCGAAUACCUUGCUGUUUUGACGUUACCGACAGAAUAAGCACCGGCUAACUCUGUGCCAGCAGCCCCGGUAAUACAGAGGGUGCAAGCGUUAAUCGGAAUUACUGGGCGUAAACCGCGCGUAGUUGGUUCGUUAAUUUGACUUUGAAAGCCCCGGGCUCAACCUGGGAACUGCAUCCAAAACUGGCGAGCUAGAGUAGGGCAGAGGGUGGUGGAAUUUCCUGUGUAGCGGUGAAAUGCGUAGAUAUAGGAAGGAACACCAGUGGCGAAGGCGACCACCUGGGCUCAUACUGACACUGAGGUGCGAAAGCGUGGGGAGCAAACAGG